UCAGAUUAAAUUUCAAAUACGACAUGACUACGAAAUGGUUGCUGAUUUAUUAGCCGUCCUAAAUCGUUUUGCAAAGAUACGAAUCAUAAAAUUUUUUAUCUUGUUAUAAAAAUUUCGUCAUCGCUCAAAUUUAUUUAUUUUAUUAUAUAUUUAUAUACGUAAUAUUUAUCUUUUAUUCGUGCAAAGCCUUGAAAAUCAAUGAAGAAUUUCUUCAUCAAUCAAGUGUCCGCCCUUAAUAUAAAAUAAUACUUCCUCUGUCCCAUUUUAUAUGUUGUUAUUUGAUCAAACACGGAGUUUAAGAAAUAAGAGAAGACUUGGUAAAAUUUAUUAAAUUAUCCUUUAUAAAAAAAUGUGUCAAUAUUUUUUUUAAUUAAAUGAGUCCAAUAAGGAUAAAAAAAUAAUUGUACCUUUAAAAAGUUGUCGAAUAAGAAAAGGCAACAUUUAUUUUGAAACGAAUUAAAAAAAAAAUUAUGACACAUAAUUUGAGACGGAGGAUUGAUAAAACAAAGUGCAUCUUUGUCGAUCAAGUGUCCGCCAUUAAUAUAAAAUAAUAACUUGAUAAAACAAAAUCUAUCUUUAUAAUGGGGUGACCUCAAAUAUUAAAAAAUAAUUUCAUUGAUCAUGUGUGCAAUAAAAAUGUCCAAAAAUAAUCUCAAAAUCAUCCAAGGCAUAGCGUAGCAAACCUAUCCAUACAUACAGUAAAUAGCAAUAUUAUAUCAGUGACAGAUACAGUGAAGUAGCAACAUCGUAUCAGUGACAGCAAAGGCAAAACAAAGAGCAAAAUAAUAAUGAAAUAUCAAUGAACAAGAUCCAACAAAGAAGAAAACAAUAAAACUAAAUGAUUAUAGUAAUUGGAGAAGGAAAAAGUCCUAAACAGUGAUGGUGCUGAUGUUGUUUUAACGGCAUUCGCCGGAGCAACGUCUGGGAUCGCAAAAGUCCGACCAGAUCUGGCCAUGUUGGUGACACAGUGGAGAUAAAAUGAAAAAGAUAGCGGUGGCGGCGGUUUCUUCGCCGGUUGUCAACUCCGACGAAGAAACCACGAAAAGGGGAAAAGGAAAGGGGAAAAGGCGGCGGCACUGGUGUACUUAGCGGCUGGACACCCCGCCGGUGACCAAUUCUGGCGUGGCGGAAAAGGGGAAAGGGAAGAGGGACGCUGCUGGCUGUUCGUCUUACCGCCGGUGGAGCUCCGAUGAUGGUUCAUGGAGAUGAUGGGGAGGAGAGGGCGGUGAUAAUGGUGUUUUAUCGGCGGCGCAGCUCGCCGGAGCAGCGGCGUCGUUGGUUGGUGGUUUCUAGAUAGAAAAAGGAGAGAGAAGAGAGAAUGUAGAGAGAGAUUUGAUUUGUACGUGUUUAUGCGUGUGUUUUUAGAGAGAGAGAAAAAUACUACCUCCGUCUUAUUUUAUGUGUCACCAUUUAACUGGACACGGAGUUUAAAGAAAUAAGAAAAGAUUUGGUAAUGUUUAUCUUUAUCAAAAAAUAUGCUAGUAUCUUUUUUUUUAAUUAAAUGAGAUCAAUAAGGAUAAAAAUGAAAUUGUAUCUUUAAAUAAUUAUCAAAUAAAAAAAAUGACAUUCUUUUUGGGACGAACUAAAAAAAAAUGAUGUCAUAUAAAAUGGGACGGAGGGAAGAUUUUGUGCAGAUAUGGAGUGUGUGUGGGGAUGUGGAGUGUGUGUAUUUUCGUGGAUGAAGUAUUUAGGGCCUGUUUAGCUAUGAAAUUUUUUUCCUUUUUUUCGAAAAAUUUUUGAAAUUGAAAAUUAUGAUGUUUGAUCAUGAAAAUUUAAAAAAUAAUUUCGAAAAAAUUUUCUGAGAAGUAAAAAUAG
RNAcentral lists this long non-coding RNA (1815 nucleotides) under Capsicum annuum. RNAcentral describes it as "long non-coding RNA (CANN_LNC004818)". The record is from RNAcentral. Lineage: Eukaryota; Viridiplantae; Streptophyta; Magnoliopsida; Solanales; Solanaceae.